RNAcentral lists this transfer RNA (66 nucleotides) under Mesorhizobium sp. Its description in RNAcentral is "tRNA-Glu". It matches the Rfam family "tRNA", at positions 10 to 71 of the family's 71-position model. From Rfam's summary of the family: Transfer RNA (tRNA) molecules are approximately 80 nucleotides in length. Their secondary structure includes four short double-helical elements and three loops (D, anti-codon, and T loops). Lineage: Bacteria; Pseudomonadati; Pseudomonadota; Alphaproteobacteria; Hyphomicrobiales; Phyllobacteriaceae. The record is from RNAcentral.
GUCUAGCGGUUAGGACACCGCCCUUUCACGGCGGUAACAGGGGUUCGAUUCCCCUUGGGCGUACCA